UGGGGAAUAUUGCACAAUGGGCGCAAGCCUGAUGCAGCCAUGCCGCGUGUAUGAAGAAGGCCUUCGGGUUGGAAAGUACUGUCAGUCGGGAGGAAGGUGUCAAGGUUAAUAACCUUGGCAAUUGACGUUACCGACAGAAGAAGCACCGGCUAACUCCGUGCCAGCAGCCGCGGUAAUACGGAGGGUGCAAGCGUUAAUCGGAAUUACUGGGCGUAAAGCGCACGCAGGCGGUUGAUUGAGUCAGAUGUGAAAUCCCCGGGCUUAACCCGGGAAUUGCAUCUGAUACUGGUCAGCUAGAGUCUUGUAGAGGGGGGUAGAAUUCCAUGUGUAGCGGUGAAAUGCGUAGAGAUGUGGAGGAAUACCGGUGGCGAAGGCGGCCCCCUGGACAAAGACUGACGCUCAGGUGCGAAAGCGUGGGGAGCAAACAGG
Molecule: ribosomal RNA, 429 nt
Filed under: Chloroflexota bacterium
Lineage: Bacteria; Bacillati; Chloroflexota
Description: Chloroflexi bacterium partial 16S ribosomal RNA
Rfam family: Bacterial small subunit ribosomal RNA
Source: RNAcentral